GAUGAACGCUGGCGGCAUGCCUAAGACAUGCAAGUCGAACGAGAUGGCCCAUUGAAGAAUGAGUGCUUGCACGAUUUUGGAUUUGGAUCACCAUCUAGUGGCAGACGGGUGAGUAACACGUGGGUGACCUACCUUCAAGUUGGGGAUAACAGUUGGAAACGAUUGCUAAUACCGAAUAAGACAUAUUUGUCAUGGAUAUGUUGAAAGGAGCCUUUAAAGCUUCACUUAAAGAUGGGCCUGCGGCGUAUUAAUUAGUUGGUGGGGUAACGGCUACCAAGAUAGCGAUGCGUAGCCGAACUGAGAGGUUGAGCGGCCACACUGGAACUGAGAUACGGUCCAGACUCCUACGGGAGACAGCAGUGGGGAAUAUUGCACAAUGGGGGAAACCCUGAUGCAGCGACGCCGCGUGGAGGAAGAAGGUCUUCGGGAUUGGUAAAACUCCUAGUUGUUGAGGAAGA
Molecule: ribosomal RNA, 458 nt
Filed under: uncultured bacterium
Lineage: Bacteria
Description: bacterial SSU rRNA
Rfam family: Bacterial small subunit ribosomal RNA
Source: RNAcentral